UACGAAGGGUGCAAGCGUUACUCGGAAUUACUGGGCGUAAAGCGUGCGUAGGUGGUUUGUUAAGUCUGUUGUGAAAGCCCCGGGCUCAACCUGGGAAUGGCAAUGGAUACUGGCAGGCUAGAGUGCGGUAGAGGGUAGUGGAAUUCCCGGUGUAGCGGUGAAAUGCGUAGAGAUCGGGAGGAACACCAGUGGCGAAGGCGGCUAUCUGGACCGUAACUGACGCUGAGGCGCGAAAGCGUGGGGAGCAAACAGG
This 253-nucleotide ribosomal RNA is filed under the name uncultured bacterium. RNAcentral describes it as "partial 16S ribosomal RNA". It matches the Rfam family "Bacterial small subunit ribosomal RNA", at positions 524 to 776 of the family's 1533-position model. The record is from RNAcentral.